Catharus ustulatus (Swainson's thrush) is the source of this 2303-nucleotide long non-coding RNA. RefSeq lists it as uncharacterized. NCBI's taxonomy places the organism in Eukaryota, Metazoa, Chordata, Aves, Passeriformes, Turdidae. The transcript has 3 exons. The record is from RefSeq and is a predicted model, not a curated record.
GGGAAGGCGGGCAGCGAAAUCCGCCGCUUCCUCUGCAGGCCGGCCCGGGGCACUCCCUCGGGGAGUGUGGCCGCGGGUCGCCGUGACCGGCCGGCGUGUUGCAAAGGGUAGAAUAUGCAAAGUUUUCUUAAGAAAUGCUGUUCUUCAGGAUGACCAUCUCCGGAGGGAAUGUGAUGCCAGCUGCCGGUAGCCGACAGCAGGACAGCAGAAGGAGCAGUCAGCAGGGACAUUCCUCAGGGCUAUGUCGUAAACAAAUUUACUAGCUCUAGGUUGUGGAGUGCCUUCCCAGAUGAACUGCUAUGUAUCAGAGGUACCGGAUUGCGGAUCAAGCUCAGCCAUGGGUUUCACCAGUCUCUCCUUCCCAUUGCACCCCAUUUCGCAGGACAUCAGGAUCAGCAGGACACCCUCCGACACCUGCACAGCCAGCCCCAUCUUUCACAGGCUGCAGGAGCCUUUCCCUCUUGCCAGGCCAAAUUAUAGCUUCCUGCUGUUCCCCGGCAAUUCGGACUGUUUGCAGGGAGGGUAUUGCUCAUUGCAGGCAGCCACUUCUGCCCCUGAGUAGCUUGGCACCUUGGAGCCUCUUCUCAGCCAGUGUAUAUCACAUUGAGUACCUCAACAGAAAGCCCAGCUGGAACAGCAGCAAGUGGCCAACCUUGGAUAUGGGGUCUCCAGAGGACCACGGUCCUUGGGAACUGCCUGGAAGGAAGCAUCUUGCCAGACACCUGGACUAUAAUCCACUUUCCUUGGAAUGACAGCCUAAGAAUUAAACCAUCCCUGAGAUAAAGAGCCUCUGAUAUCUCAUCUGUUCUACAUGAUACGACCCCAGGCCAGCUCUGCAGAGUAUUUGGGGAGCAGAGCGAGGCCCAGGAUGCUGUAUCAAUCAGUAUUGUUAAUCCUGUCUCUUUCCUGCAAGGGAAGUCCAAAACUGAACCUGUAGUACACGACUGCCUAGGGACCAUGGAAACUGUGUAUUCCAGCCGCAUGGAUGUAAAGGAACAGCUGCUCCCAGAUGCCAUUAACUGGUUCACUGAUGGCAGCAGUUUGUGAGACAGGGAGUGCCAAGGGUGGGGUACCCUGUGACUACAGCCUUGGAGGUCAUUGAGUCAAGCCCAUUAUCAGCAGGAACCUGAGCACAAAAGGCUGAGCUGAGAGCCCUCACUCAAGCAUUACAACUGGCAAAAGGAAAGCAAGUUAAUGUUUGGAUUGACGGGAAAUAUGCUUAUGGGAAUUGUUCAUGCCCAUGGAGCCAUGUGGAAGGAAAGAGGAAUCCUGACUGCACAAAAGAAGAUCAUCAAAUAUGCAACUGAAAUCCUCAGGCUCCCUGAGGCAGUGGAACUCUCAAUGCAAGUGGCAACUGUACAUGGCUGAGGGCACUCUAAAGGUAAGACCCUCCCAGAAGCAGGUAGGAAAUUUGCAGAUUAUGCAGCUGGAAUCACUGCUGAAAUAAAUUAAUCACUUAUAACAGCUCUAAUACCCACUGCAGUAUCAACUAAGCAGCCUGUAAAAAACCAACCUUCUGAUUAUAAAAGGACUUAUAAAAAUAGAGGAAAACUUUUUGAAAAUGGUUGGGGACAAUUAGACAACAGGUCAUUUAAUAAUACCAGGAAAUGUAAUAAGACGUGAUGUGUAAUCUGAACGUAGUAAGACUUGUAAGAGGAACAGAACCCUUACACCAACACCUAAAAGAACGAAUUGCGGGCCCAGGCUUGCAAGACAUUUUUAAAGAACGGACAUCACAAUGUGUGACUUGAUUGAAGAACAAUCCAAAUUCAACAGUUAGGCUAGAACAAGGAGUUAUUAGCAGAGGAGCUUUCCUUGGAGACUUAUGACAGAGAUACUUUUCUGAACUUGCAAGAAAGGGGGUUUUUUGAUAUUUGCUGGUACAUACUGAUACUUUCUCUGGGUGCUCAGAAGCGUUCCCUUGUAGGAAAAAUAAAGUUAGAGAAGUGAUAAAAGUGUUGUUGAAUGAGAUCACACCUUGGUUUGAUGCACCUAGAGAAAUAUUCCCUGACAGAGGAUCACUUUCUGUGCACAAAUUGUGCAAGCUAUUAGCAAAGCAUUAGGAAUCCAAGGGCAGCUUCACACGCCCUACAGACCACAAGCUAGUGCUCAAGUAGAAAAGCUGAAUCAUAUGAUCAAACAACAGAUAGCUAAAAUUGGUCAAGAAAUUAAUUUAUAUUGGUAUCAAGCUUUACCUAUUGCCCUUAUCAGACUCAGAAGAAGACCUAGGUCUAAAGAAAAAAUUGCAGUAAUUUCACGACUAUAAGGUGCACCGGAUUAUAAGGCGCACCUCUAGGAGUUGG